Molecule: ribosomal RNA, 557 nt
Filed under: Ophiophagus hannah (king cobra)
Lineage: Eukaryota; Metazoa; Chordata; Lepidosauria; Squamata; Elapidae
Description: partial 16S ribosomal RNA
Rfam family: Bacterial large subunit ribosomal RNA
Source: RNAcentral
CUGUUUAUCAAAAACAUAACCUUUAGCCACAAACCAAUAUUAAAGGCAACGCCUGCCCAGUGAACAAUUCAACGGCCGCGGUACCCUAACCGUGCAAAGGUAGCGUAAUCACUUGUCUAUUAAUUGUAGACCCGUAUGAAAGGCAAAAUGAGGGUCUAACUGUCUCUUAUAGUAAAUCAAUUAAACUGAUCUCCCAGUCCAAAAGCUGGGAUCCCCCCAUAAGACCAGAAGACCCUGUGAAGCUUAAACUAAACUAUUAAACCCAAUAAUAACUCCUUUCGGUUGGGGCGACCUUGGAAAAAAAAAGAACUUCCAAAUAUAUGAUCAUUCACCACAUCCACUCCGGCCAACAAGCCUAACACGACCCAGCACAGCUGAUAAUCGAACCAAGCUACUCCAGGGAUAACAGCGCUAUCUUCUUCAAGAGCCCAUAUCAAAAAGAAGGUUUACGACCUCGAUGUUGGAUCAGGACAUCCUAAUGGUGCAGCCGCUAUUAAAGGUUCGUUUGUUCAACGAUUAACAGUCCUACGUGAUCUGAGUUCAGACCGGAUGUUUUU